This 30-nucleotide non-coding RNA is filed under the name Mus musculus (house mouse). The record is from RNAcentral. Lineage: Eukaryota; Metazoa; Chordata; Mammalia; Rodentia; Muridae.
UUCCCUAAAAAGUCUCAGCCAAGAAUAAGU